Non-coding RNA from Parasteatoda tepidariorum (common house spider), 467 nucleotides. NCBI's taxonomy places the organism in Eukaryota, Metazoa, Arthropoda, Arachnida, Araneae, Theridiidae. The record is from RefSeq and is a predicted model, not a curated record.
AUUACCAAGGAGCUCAAUGCUUAUAGGGUCAAGUGAAUUCUGAACAAAUAUUUUAGUAUGGUAAUUUUUCAACUGUUUUUAUUUGUAGAAAUUUUAUUGAAUAUUAUGUUUUUUUGUGUCUUCUUUGAUUAAUUAUUGUGAUUAUUUUCUGUAUGAAUAAUUUUUUAGGCUCAUUAAGUGACAAACCUUUAAAUUUGUCAAGAGUGAUGUCUAAAAAUAUUCCUCAGCCAUCAAAUCCUUUGAAAUCCUUUAAUUGGUGUAAACUACCAGAAUGCAUUGGUUCAGUUAUAGAAGAUAUACCAGCAGUGGUGACUAAAGCCAAAUCAAGAGAACUCUCUGUCAUUGAUGCUUUUGAAGUUUAUGCCUAGUCAUGAGGAAAAAGUCCUUUUAGAAGAACAUAGCAUAGAAAUUGAUAAUAUGGCUAGAUCUGAUAGAUUUUUUAUUUGAAAUAAGUAAGUAUGCCUUAU